AUUGAACGCUGGCGGCAGGCCUAACACAUGCAAGUCGAACGGUAACAGGAAACAGCUUGCUGUUUCGCUGACGAGUGGCGGACGGGUGAGUAAUGUCUGGGAAACUGCCUGAUGGAGGGGGAUAACUACUGGAAACGGUAGCUAAUACCGCAUAACGUCGCAAGACCAAAGAGGGGGACCCUCGGGCCUCUUGCCAUCGGAUGUGCCCAGAUGGGAUUAGCUUGUUGGUGGGGUAACGGCUCACCAAGGCGACGAUCCCUAGCUGGUCUGAGAGGAUGACCAGCCACACUGGAACUGAGACACGGUCCAGACUCCUACGGGAGGCAGCAGUGGGGAAUAUUGCACAAUGGGCGCAAGCCUGAUGCAGCCAUGCCGCGUGUAUGAAGAAGGCCUUCGGGUUGUAAAGUACUUUCAGCGGGGAGGAAGGGAGUAAAGUUAAUACCUUUGCUCAUUGACGUUACCCGCAGAAGAAGCACCGGCCAACUCCGUGCCAGCAGCCGCGGUAAUACGGAGGGUGCAAGCGUUAAUCGGAAUUACUGGGCGUAAAGCGCACGCAGGCGGUUUGUUAAGUCAGAUGUGAAAUCCCCGGGCUCAACCUGGGAACUGCAUCUGAUACUGGCAAGCUUGAGUCUCGUAGAGGGGGGUAGAAUUCCAGGUGUAGCGGUGAAAUGCGUAGAGAUCUGGAGGAAUACCGGUGGCGAAGGCGGCCCCCUGGACGAAGACUGACGCUCAGGUGCGAAAGCGUGGGGAGCAAACAGG
Molecule: ribosomal RNA, 759 nt
Filed under: uncultured Enterobacteriaceae bacterium
Lineage: Bacteria; Pseudomonadati; Pseudomonadota; Gammaproteobacteria; Enterobacterales; Enterobacteriaceae
Description: bacterial SSU rRNA
Rfam family: Bacterial small subunit ribosomal RNA
Source: RNAcentral